This 468-nucleotide ribosomal RNA is filed under the name uncultured bacterium. RNAcentral's name for it is "partial 16S ribosomal RNA". It matches the Rfam family "Bacterial small subunit ribosomal RNA", at positions 28 to 507 of the family's 1533-position model. The record is from RNAcentral.
GACGAACGCUGGCGGCGUGCUUAACACAUGCAAGUCGAACGGAAAGGCCCUGCUUUUGUGGGGUGCUCGAGUGGCGAACGGGUGAGUAACACGUGAGUAACCUGCCCUUGACUUUGGGAUAACUUCAGGAAACUGGGGCUAAUACCGUAUAGGAGCUCCUGCUGCAUGGUGGGGGUUGGAAAGUUUCGGCUGUUGGGGAUGGACUCGCGGCUUAUCAGCUUGUUGGUUGGGUAGUGGCUUACCAAGGCUUUGACGGGUAGCCGGCCUGAGAGGGUGACCGGCCACAUUGGGACUGAGAUACGGCCCAGACUCCUACGGGAGGCAGCAGUGGGAAAUAUUGCACAAUGGGCGGAAGCCUGAUGCAGCAACGCCGCGUGCGGGAUGACGGCCUUCGGGUUGUAAACCGCUUUCGCCUGUGACGAAGCGUGAGUGACGGUAAUGGGUAAAGAAGCACCGGCUAACUACGUG